RNAcentral lists this microRNA precursor (96 nucleotides) under Enterobacter sp. WPR_3_1. RNAcentral's name for it is "microRNA mir-598". The record is from RNAcentral. Lineage: Bacteria; Pseudomonadati; Pseudomonadota; Gammaproteobacteria; Enterobacterales; Enterobacteriaceae.
UCAACCAGUGGAUGCCCAUGGUCGUGAUGAUCAUGAUGGUGGUCAUGGUCAUGGUCAUGGUCAUGGUCGUGAUGAUCAUGAUGAUGGUCAUGGUGA